UGCAAGUCGAACGAACUUCCGUUAAUUGAUUAUGACGUACUUGUACUGAUUGAGAUUUUAACACGAAGUGAGUGGCGAACGGGUGAGUAACACGUGGGUAACCUGCCCAGAAGUAGGGGAUAACACCUGGAAACAGAUGCUAAUACCGUAUAACAGAGAAAACCGCAUGGUUUUCUUUUAAAAGAUGGCUCUGCUAUCACUUCUGGAUGGACCCGCGGCGUAUUAGCUAGUUGGUGAGGUAAAGGCUCACCAAGGCAGUGAUACGUAGCCGACCUGAGAGGGUAAUCGGCCACAUUGGGACUGAGACACGGCCCAGACUCCUACGGGAGGCAGCAGUAGGGAAUCUUCCACAAUGGACGCAAGUCUGAUGGAGCAACGCCGCGUGAGUGAAGAAGGGUUUCGGCUCGUAAAGCUCUGUUGUUAAAGAAGAACGUGGGUAAGAGUAACUGUUUACCCAGUGACGGUAUUUAACCAGAAAGCCACGGCUAACUACGUGCCAGCAGCCGCGGUAAUACGUAGGUGGCAAGCGUUAUCCGGAUUUAUUGGGCGUAAAGCGAGCGCAGGCGGUCUUUUAAGUCUAAUGUGAAAGCCUUCGGCUCAACCGAAGAAGUGCAUUGGAAACUGGGAGACUUGAGUGCAGAAGAGGACAGUGGAACUCCAUGUGUAGCGGUGAAAUGCGUAGAUAUAUGGAAGAACACCAGUGGCGAAGGCGGCUGUCUGGUCUGCAACUGACGCUGAGGCUCGAAAGCAUGGGUAGCGAACAGGAUUAGAUACCCUGGUAGUCCAUGCCGUAAACGAUGAUUACUAAGUGUUGGAGGGUUUCCGCCCUUCAGUGCUGCAGCUAACGCAUUAAGUAAUCCGCCUGGGGAGUACGACCGCAAGGUUGAAACUCAAAAGAAUUGACGGGGGCCCGCACAAGCGGUGGAGCAUGUGGUUUAAUUCGAAGCUACGCGAAGAACCUUACCAGGUCUUGACAUCUUCUGACAGUCUAAGAGAUUAGAGGUUCCCUUCGGGGACAGAAUGACAGGUGGUGCAUGGUUGUCGUCAGCUCGUGUCGUGAGAUGUUGGGUUAAGUCCCGCAACGAGCGCAACCCUUAUUACUAGUUGCCAGCAUUAAGUUGGGCACUCUAGUGAGACUGCCGGUGACAAACCGGAGGAAGGUGGGGACGACGUCAAAUCAUCAUGCCCCUUAUGACCUGGGCUACACACGUGCUACAAUGGAUGGUACAACGAGUCGCGAGACCGCGAGGUUAAGCUAAUCUCUUAAAACCAUUCUCAGUUCGGACUGUAGGCUGCAACUCGCCUACACGAAGUCGGAAUCGCUAGUAAUCGCGGAUCAGCAUGCCGCGGUGAAUACGUUCCCGGGCCUUGUACACACCGCCCGUCACACCAUGAGAGUUUGUAACACCCAAAGCCGGUGGGGUAACCU
RNAcentral lists this ribosomal RNA (1429 nucleotides) under Pediococcus pentosaceus. Its description in RNAcentral is "bacterial SSU rRNA". It matches the Rfam family "Bacterial small subunit ribosomal RNA". Lineage: Bacteria; Bacillati; Bacillota; Bacilli; Lactobacillales; Lactobacillaceae. The record is from RNAcentral.